CUGGAUUGACUGUUAAGAGCAUGUUAGGGCCGCAGACAGUGUUGAAUCUUCAAGUCAUUCACUGUAUGGUCAAGAGCUGAAUAAAGUUCUACAUUGAACAUUUGCUUAUUUUCUUUAGUAGAAGUGACUAGAGGCUUCAGAGAAGAACAGUGUCUUUAGAGAAAUGCCUUCUCUAUCCCAGGCUACCCUUCACUGCCUGCUUUGAAGUAACCAGGACAAUUUUGAAUUGGUGUGUGUUUCUUUGAGAACAACUCCACAGUCAUCUGAAGAGUGUGGAAUGAAGAGCUCAGGGAAUUUAAGAGCUAAUUCUUCAGUCUGACAACUGGGCGACAGCACUUUAAGGAAACUCCCAGGACUAUGAUUUCAAGCUUCGUUGUCGAUCAAAAGUUUAAUCCCCUUGGGAUGAAUUCCACAUUCCUUUAGCAUCUGGUUGUAACUGACUGGAAGAUAAUGAGUUUUAAUUUGUGUUGCAGAUGAGCAUUUGAUUCUGAUUCGCAUCUAUUUCUAGAUCCUGUCCUCUGAACAACAAUUCCUCUUAAAAUUGCUUAGCAGAGGGACUCAGAAGCCUGCAUCCCCUUUGAAGUUACAAUAGACCUUACUACUGCUAAAGCCUGCAUCUCCUUUGAAGUUAAAAUAG
Molecule: long non-coding RNA, 637 nt
Filed under: Bos taurus (domestic cattle)
Lineage: Eukaryota; Metazoa; Chordata; Mammalia; Artiodactyla; Bovidae
Description: long non-coding RNA NONBTAT000884
Source: RNAcentral